UACGUAGGGUCCGAGCGUUGUCCGGAAUUAUUGGGCGUAAAGAGCUCGUAGGCGGUGUGUCACGUCGGCCGUGAAAACCUGCAGCUUAACUGUGGGCGUGCGGUCGAUACGGGCAUCACUGGAGUUCGGCAGGGGGAGACUGGAAUUCCUGGUGUAGCGGUGAAAUGCGCAGAUAUCAGGAGGAACACCUAUUGCGAAGGCAGCUCGCUGGGACGUUACUGACGCUGAGACGCGAAAGCGUGGGGGAGCAAACAGG
Molecule: ribosomal RNA, 256 nt
Filed under: uncultured bacterium
Lineage: Bacteria
Description: partial 16S ribosomal RNA
Rfam family: Bacterial small subunit ribosomal RNA
Source: RNAcentral